AUGCUGACCAGCCCUAUGGAAAGGGCAGGGGCACAGCUCUCAUGGACAGCUGGCUACCCAGAGAUUCUCUCACGCGUCUCUCCACCUCGGCUCUCGGUCUUGGGCUGUAAGAAGAAGAGCUAUUUGCUGAGUCACCAGCAGAAAAGCCAUUUUGCUGAGUCACCCAGAAGAGCAAUUUUGCUGAGUCACCCAACAGCUGGGAUGGUUUCCCAAGCUUCCUCAAGCUCCCCGAGCCCCUGCUUAGUUCCACUUUUAGUGCCCAGCAGCUCCCUGGAGCCUCAGCUCCAUUCGUGCCCGGCCACCAGUGCCCUGUGCAUCCUGGGGCUGGUGGCUUCGCCUCUUUCAGCCUCAGGUACCUCACCUGCCCAGUGGGAACUGCCAGGUCGCAGGAAGCCAGGGCCAUCAGUGACUUGCUUGCUGUGUUAUCUCUGGGCCUACAGUGGAGUCAGGACCUGGUGCUCAGAAGGCACCUGGCCAGACCACAUCCCCUCUCCCCUGCUCCUUACCCGAGGGACCUUCCAGAUUACCAGUGGUCAGUCCCCUUCACACCCUCACUCCACUUCCCCUCUGCAGCCAGAUGGGUCUUUCUUCUGGGGCUCCUAUUGUCCCUGGGACAAAGUCCAGAUGUCUCCACGUGGCCUGCAUGGCCCUUGGAGGGACUCCCACUCGUCUCCCCAGGCUCCUCCCUCCCCACACUCCCGUGCUCCAGUUGCACACUCUCCUUCGUGUUUCAGGAACCUCCCUGAUCCUUCCCUGCCUCUGUGCCUUUGCCCAUUCCCUCUGAACUGGAGUGCCUUCCUUGUCUGCGUGAUGCGCACCUUCUCCUCAAAUCCCUCAACAGCACCCAGGGAAACAGUGCUGGAGCGCCCCUGCUGGCUUGCACUAGCUCUGAUGAGAAGGGGAAAUGACCUCAACCCAAGGUGGAAGCCAAGGAGGGGCCAGGCAGGGCCAGCCGCCUCCCCACGCCGAUGUGGCCCUGGGCACAUUCCUGAGCAGGUGGAAGCAAAUUUGGCUCAGAACCAGCAUCCAGGCACCCUGCCAGGCCCAAGACACAGAAAAUGCACGAGGUCUGAGCUCUCGGAGAACCUCGGGGGAGGUCUCGCUGCCUGCCGUCUCCUGUCCACGCCAUCACAGCGCGAGCGCUCCUGCCUGGCCCUGAGACCUCACCGCCUUGGGCUGCGAUUCACGCAGGCUGCUGCACCUGCCAACAGUUCAUGCCUCCCCUCGCCGAGCGGUAGCCCAUCGUGGCCCCCACGUCGCGUCCUGGAGCCAGCGAUGAGACCGAAGCUGAGCGUAAACAGCAUGGGCUUACCCAGCUCCAAGGCGUGGAGCAGCGGGGCCCAGCUAGGGCGUCCACUUCUCCACCUGCUGGGCCGCGGAGCCCCGGAUAUGGGGCCGCAGGGAUGA
This 1407-nucleotide long non-coding RNA is filed under the name Oryctolagus cuniculus (rabbit). RNAcentral's name for it is "lncRNA (ENSOCUG00000038807.1)". The record is from RNAcentral. Lineage: Eukaryota; Metazoa; Chordata; Mammalia; Lagomorpha; Leporidae.